RNAcentral lists this ribosomal RNA (253 nucleotides) under uncultured bacterium. Its description in RNAcentral is "partial 16S ribosomal RNA". It matches the Rfam family "Bacterial small subunit ribosomal RNA", at positions 524 to 776 of the family's 1533-position model. The record is from RNAcentral.
UACGUAGGGUGCGAGCGUUAAUCGGAAUUACUGGGCGUAAAGCGUGCGCAGGCGGUUCGCCAAGUCAGGUGUGAAUUCCCCGGGCUUAACCUGGGAAUGGCGUUUGAAACUACGGAGCUGGAGUGUGGCAGAGGGAGGUAGAAUUCCACGUGUAGCGGUGAAAUGCGUAGAUAUGUGGAGGAAUACCGAUGGCGAAGGCAGCCUCCUGGGCCAACACUGACGCUCAUGCACGAAAGCGUGGGGAGCAAACAGG